RNAcentral lists this transfer RNA (76 nucleotides) under Candidatus Altimarinota bacterium. RNAcentral describes it as "tRNA-Lys". It matches the Rfam family "tRNA". Rfam says of the family: Transfer RNA (tRNA) molecules are approximately 80 nucleotides in length. Their secondary structure includes four short double-helical elements and three loops (D, anti-codon, and T loops). The record is from RNAcentral. Lineage: Bacteria; Candidatus Altimarinota.
GGGUCAGUAGCUCAGUUGGUAGAGCAGAAGCCUCUUAAGCUUUUUGUCCCGGGUUCAAGUCCCGGCUGACCCACCA